This 72-nucleotide transfer RNA is filed under the name Methanobrevibacter millerae. RNAcentral's name for it is "tRNA_Glu_TTC". It matches the Rfam family "tRNA". From Rfam's summary of the family: Transfer RNA (tRNA) molecules are approximately 80 nucleotides in length. Lineage: Archaea; Methanobacteriati; Methanobacteriota; Methanobacteria; Methanobacteriales; Methanobacteriaceae. The record is from RNAcentral.
GGAGCUAUAGGGUAGUGGCAAUCCUGAUGGACUUUCGAUCCGUCGACCCGGGUUCGAGUCCCGGUAGUUCCA